This 6301-nucleotide long non-coding RNA is filed under the name Homo sapiens (human). RNAcentral's name for it is "non-protein coding MALAT1:27". The stretch from base 3613 to 3707 matches the Rfam family "Metastasis associated lung adenocarcinoma transcript 1". Lineage: Eukaryota; Metazoa; Chordata; Mammalia; Primates; Hominidae. The record is from RNAcentral.
CCAGCGCAGGGGCUUCUGCUGAGGGGGCAGGCGGAGCUUGAGGAAACCGCAGAUAAGUUUUUUUCUCUUUGAAAGAUAGAGAUUAAUACAACUACUUAAAAAAUAUAGUCAAUAGGUUACUAAGAUAUUGCUUAGCGUUAAGUUUUUAACGUAAUUUUAAUAGCUUAAGAUUUUAAGAGAAAAUAUGAAGACUUAGAAGAGUAGCAUGAGGAAGGAAAAGAUAAAAGGUUUCUAAAACAUGACGGAGGUUGAGAUGAAGCUUCUUCAUGGAGUAAAAAAUGUAUUUAAAAGAAAAUUGAGAGAAAGGACUACAGAGCCCCGAAUUAAUACCAAUAGAAGGGCAAUGCUUUUAGAUUAAAAUGAAGGUGACUUAAACAGCUUAAAGUUUAGUUUAAAAGUUGUAGGUGAUUAAAAUAAUUUGAAGGCGAUCUUUUAAAAAGAGAUUAAACCGAAGGUGAUUAAAAGACCUUGAAAUCCAUGACGCAGGGAGAAUUGCGUCAUUUAAAGCCUAGUUAACGCAUUUACUAAACGCAGACGAAAAUGGAAAGAUUAAUUGGGAGUGGUAGGAUGAAACAAUUUGGAGAAGAUAGAAGUUUGAAGUGGAAAACUGGAAGACAGAAGUACGGGAAGGCGAAGAAAAGAAUAGAGAAGAUAGGGAAAUUAGAAGAUAAAAACAUACUUUUAGAAGAAAAAAGAUAAAUUUAAACCUGAAAAGUAGGAAGCAGAAGAAAAAAGACAAGCUAGGAAACAAAAAGCUAAGGGCAAAAUGUACAAACUUAGAAGAAAAUUGGAAGAUAGAAACAAGAUAGAAAAUGAAAAUAUUGUCAAGAGUUUCAGAUAGAAAAUGAAAAACAAGCUAAGACAAGUAUUGGAGAAGUAUAGAAGAUAGAAAAAUAUAAAGCCAAAAAUUGGAUAAAAUAGCACUGAAAAAAUGAGGAAAUUAUUGGUAACCAAUUUAUUUUAAAAGCCCAUCAAUUUAAUUUCUGGUGGUGCAGAAGUUAGAAGGUAAAGCUUGAGAAGAUGAGGGUGUUUACGUAGACCAGAACCAAUUUAGAAGAAUACUUGAAGCUAGAAGGGGAAGUUGGUUAAAAAUCACAUCAAAAAGCUACUAAAAGGACUGGUGUAAUUUAAAAAAAACUAAGGCAGAAGGCUUUUGGAAGAGUUAGAAGAAUUUGGAAGGCCUUAAAUAUAGUAGCUUAGUUUGAAAAAUGUGAAGGACUUUCGUAACGGAAGUAAUUCAAGAUCAAGAGUAAUUACCAACUUAAUGUUUUUGCAUUGGACUUUGAGUUAAGAUUAUUUUUUAAAUCCUGAGGACUAGCAUUAAUUGACAGCUGACCCAGGUGCUACACAGAAGUGGAUUCAGUGAAUCUAGGAAGACAGCAGCAGACAGGAUUCCAGGAACCAGUGUUUGAUGAAGCUAGGACUGAGGAGCAAGCGAGCAAGCAGCAGUUCGUGGUGAAGAUAGGAAAAGAGUCCAGGAGCCAGUGCGAUUUGGUGAAGGAAGCUAGGAAGAAGGAAGGAGCGCUAACGAUUUGGUGGUGAAGCUAGGAAAAAGGAUUCCAGGAAGGAGCGAGUGCAAUUUGGUGAUGAAGGUAGCAGGCGGCUUGGCUUGGCAACCACACGGAGGAGGCGAGCAGGCGUUGUGCGUAGAGGAUCCUAGACCAGCAUGCCAGUGUGCCAAGGCCACAGGGAAAGCGAGUGGUUGGUAAAAAUCCGUGAGGUCGGCAAUAUGUUGUUUUUCUGGAACUUACUUAUGGUAACCUUUUAUUUAUUUUCUAAUAUAAUGGGGGAGUUUCGUACUGAGGUGUAAAGGGAUUUAUAUGGGGACGUAGGCCGAUUUCCGGGUGUUGUAGGUUUCUCUUUUUCAGGCUUAUACUCAUGAAUCUUGUCUGAAGCUUUUGAGGGCAGACUGCCAAGUCCUGGAGAAAUAGUAGAUGGCAAGUUUGUGGGUUUUUUUUUUUUACACGAAUUUGAGGAAAACCAAAUGAAUUUGAUAGCCAAAUUGAGACAAUUUCAGCAAAUCUGUAAGCAGUUUGUAUGUUUAGUUGGGGUAAUGAAGUAUUUCAGUUUUGUGAAUAGAUGACCUGUUUUUACUUCCUCACCCUGAAUUCGUUUUGUAAAUGUAGAGUUUGGAUGUGUAACUGAGGCGGGGGGGAGUUUUCAGUAUUUUUUUUUGUGGGGGUGGGGGCAAAAUAUGUUUUCAGUUCUUUUUCCCUUAGGUCUGUCUAGAAUCCUAAAGGCAAAUGACUCAAGGUGUAACAGAAAACAAGAAAAUCCAAUAUCAGGAUAAUCAGACCACCACAGGUUUACAGUUUAUAGAAACUAGAGCAGUUCUCACGUUGAGGUCUGUGGAAGAGAUGUCCAUUGGAGAAAUGGCUGGUAGUUACUCUUUUUUCCCCCCACCCCCUUAAUCAGACUUUAAAAGUGCUUAACCCCUUAAACUUGUUAUUUUUUACUUGAAGCAUUUUGGGAUGGUCUUAACAGGGAAGAGAGAGGGUGGGGGAGAAAAUGUUUUUUUCUAAGAUUUUCCACAGAUGCUAUAGUACUAUUGACAAACUGGGUUAGAGAAGGAGUGUACCGCUGUGCUGUUGGCACGAACACCUUCAGGGACUGGAGCUGCUUUUAUCCUUGGAAGAGUAUUCCCAGUUGAAGCUGAAAAGUACAGCACAGUGCAGCUUUGGUUCAUAUUCAGUCAUCUCAGGAGAACUUCAGAAGAGCUUGAGUAGGCCAAAUGUUGAAGUUAAGUUUUCCAAUAAUGUGACUUCUUAAAAGUUUUAUUAAAGGGGAGGGGCAAAUAUUGGCAAUUAGUUGGCAGUGGCCUGUUACGGUUGGGAUUGGUGGGGUGGGUUUAGGUAAUUGUUUAGUUUAUGAUUGCAGAUAAACUCAUGCCAGAGAACUUAAAGUCUUAGAAUGGAAAAAGUAAAGAAAUAUCAACUUCCAAGUUGGCAAGUAACUCCCAAUGAUUUAGUUUUUUUCCCCCCAGUUUGAAUUGGGAAGCUGGGGGAAGUUAAAUAUGAGCCACUGGGUGUACCAGUGCAUUAAUUUGGGCAAGGAAAGUGUCAUAAUUUGAUACUGUAUCUGUUUUCCUUCAAAGUAUAGAGCUUUUGGGGAAGGAAAGUAUUGAACUGGGGGUUGGUCUGGCCUACUGGGCUGACAUUAACUACAAUUAUGGGAAAUGCAAAAGUUGUUUGGAUAUGGUAGUGUGUGGUUCUCUUUUGGAAUUUUUUUCAGGUGAUUUAAUAAUAAUUUAAAACUACUAUAGAAACUGCAGAGCAAAGGAAGUGGCUUAAUGAUCCUGAAGGGAUUUCUUCUGAUGGUAGCUUUUGUAUUAUCAAACUUUUUUCAGAUAACAUCUUCUGAGUCAUAACCAGCCUGGCAGUAUGAUGGCCUAGAUGCAGAGAAAACAGCUCCUUGGUGAAUUGAUAAGUAAAGGCAGAAAAGAUUAUAUGUCAUACCUCCAUUGGGGAAUAAGCAUAACCCUGAGAUUCUUACUACUGAUGAGAACAUUAUCUGCAUAUGCCAAAAAAUUUUAAGCAAAUGAAAGCUACCAAUUUAAAGUUACGGAAUCUACCAUUUUAAAGUUAAUUGCUUGUCAAGCUAUAACCACAAAAAUAAUGAAUUGAUGAGAAAUACAAUGAAGAGGCAAUGUCCAUCUCAAAAUACUGCUUUUACAAAAGCAGAAUAAAAGCGAAAAGAAAUGAAAAUGUUACACUACAUUAAUCCUGGAAUAAAAGAAGCCGAAAUAAAUGAGAGAUGAGUUGGGAUCAAGUGGAUUGAGGAGGCUGUGCUGUGUGCCAAUGUUUCGUUUGCCUCAGACAGGUAUCUCUUCGUUAUCAGAAGAGUUGCUUCAUUUCAUCUGGGAGCAGAAAACAGCAGGCAGCUGUUAACAGAUAAGUUUAACUUGCAUCUGCAGUAUUGCAUGUUAGGGAUAAGUGCUUAUUUUUAAGAGCUGUGGAGUUCUUAAAUAUCAACCAUGGCACUUUCUCCUGACCCCUUCCCUAGGGGAUUUCAGGAUUGAGAAAUUUUUCCAUCGAGCCUUUUUAAAAUUGUAGGACUUGUUCCUGUGGGCUUCAGUGAUGGGAUAGUACACUUCACUCAGAGGCAUUUGCAUCUUUAAAUAAUUUCUUAAAAGCCUCUAAAGUGAUCAGUGCCUUGAUGCCAACUAAGGAAAUUUGUUUAGCAUUGAAUCUCUGAAGGCUCUAUGAAAGGAAUAGCAUGAUGUGCUGUUAGAAUCAGAUGUUACUGCUAAAAUUUACAUGUUGUGAUGUAAAUUGUGUAGAAAACCAUUAAAUCAUUCAAAAUAAUAAACUAUUUUUAUUAGAGAAUGUAUACUUUUAGAAAGCUGUCUCCUUAUUUAAAUAAAAUAGUGUUUGUCUGUAGUUCAGUGUUGGGGCAAUCUUGGGGGGGAUUCUUCUCUAAUCUUUCAGAAACUUUGUCUGCGAACACUCUUUAAUGGACCAGAUCAGGAUUUGAGCGGAAGAACGAAUGUAACUUUAAGGCAGGAAAGACAAAUUUUAUUCUUCAUAAAGUGAUGAGCAUAUAAUAAUUCCAGGCACAUGGCAAUAGAGGCCCUCUAAAUAAGGAAUAAAUAACCUCUUAGACAGGUGGGAGAUUAUGAUCAGAGUAAAAGGUAAUUACACAUUUUAUUUCCAGAAAGUCAGGGGUCUAUAAAUUGACAGUGAUUAGAGUAAUACUUUUUCACAUUUCCAAAGUUUGCAUGUUAACUUUAAAUGCUUACAAUCUUAGAGUGGUAGGCAAUGUUUUACACUAUUGACCUUAUAUAGGGAAGGGAGGGGGUGCCUGUGGGGUUUUAAAGAAUUUUCCUUUGCAGAGGCAUUUCAUCCUUCAUGAAGCCAUUCAGGAUUUUGAAUUGCAUAUGAGUGCUUGGCUCUUCCUUCUGUUCUAACUUCACAGAGAAUGCAGUUGUCUUGACUUCAGGUCUGUCUGUUCUGUUGGCAAGUAAAUGCAGUACUGUUCUGAUCCCGCUGCUAUUAGAAUGCAUUGUGAAACGACUGGAGUAUGAUUAAAAGUUGUGUUCCCCAAUGCUUGGAGUAGUGAUUGUUGAAGGAAAAAAUCCAGCUGAGUGAUAAAGGCUGAGUGUUGAGGAAAUUUCUGCAGUUUUAAGCAGUCGUAUUUGUGAUUGAAGCUGAGUACAUUUUGCUGGUGUAUUUUUAGGUAAAAUGCUUUUUGUUCAUUUCUGGUGGUGGGAGGGGACUGAAGCCUUUAGUCUUUUCCAGAUGCAACCUUAAAAUCAGUGACAAGAAACAUUCCAAACAAGCAACAGUCUUCAAGAAAUUAAACUGGCAAGUGGAAAUGUUUAAACAGUUCAGUGAUCUUUAGUGCAUUGUUUAUGUGUGGGUUUCUCUCUCCCCUCCCUUGGUCUUAAUUCUUACAUGCAGGAACACUCAGCAGACACACGUAUGCGAAGGGCCAGAGAAGCCAGACCCAGUAAGAAAAAAUAGCCUAUUUACUUUAAAUAAACCAAACAUUCCAUUUUAAAUGUGGGGAUUGGGAACCACUAGUUCUUUCAGAUGGUAUUCUUCAGACUAUAGAAGGAGCUUCCAGUUGAAUUCACCAGUGGACAAAAUGAGGAAAACAGGUGAACAAGCUUUUUCUGUAUUUACAUACAAAGUCAGAUCAGUUAUGGGACAAUAGUAUUGAAUAGAUUUCAGCUUUAUGCUGGAGUAACUGGCAUGUGAGCAAACUGUGUUGGCGUGGGGGUGGAGGGGUGAGGUGGGCGCUAAGCCUUUUUUUAAGAUUUUUCAGGUACCCCUCACUAAAGGCACCGAAGGCUUAAAGUAGGACAACCAUGGAGCCUUCCUGUGGCAGGAGAGACAACAAAGCGCUAUUAUCCUAAGGUCAAGAGAAGUGUCAGCCUCACCUGAUUUUUAUUAGUAAUGAGGACUUGCCUCAACUCCCUCUUUCUGGAGUGAAGCAUCCGAAGGAAUGCUUGAAGUACCCCUGGGCUUCUCUUAACAUUUAAGCAAGCUGUUUUUAUAGCAGCUCUUAAUAAUAAAGCCCAAAUCUCAAGCGGUGCUUGAAGGGGAGGGAAAGGGGGAAAGCGGGCAACCACUUUUCCCUAGCUUUUCCAGAAGCCUGUUAAAAGCAAGGUCUCCCCACAAGCAACUUCUCUGCCACAUCGCCACCCCGUGCCUUUUGAUCUAGCACAGACCCUUCACCCCUCACCUCGAUGCAGCCAGUAGCUUGGAUCCUUGUGGGCAUGAUCCAUAAUCGGUUUCAAGGUAAUAGCCUGCAGCUGGUGUUUUGAGAAGCCCUACUGCUGAAAACUUAACAAUUUUGU